RNAcentral lists this ribosomal RNA (348 nucleotides) under Eurypharynx pelecanoides (pelican eel). RNAcentral describes it as "partial 12S ribosomal RNA". It matches the Rfam family "Bacterial small subunit ribosomal RNA", at positions 801 to 1360 of the family's 1533-position model. Lineage: Eukaryota; Metazoa; Chordata; Actinopteri; Anguilliformes; Eurypharyngidae. The record is from RNAcentral.
AAACAACGAUGCAUAUGCAUCCGCCAGGGUACUACAAGCUCUAGCUUAAAACCCAAAGGACUUGGCGGCACCUCAAACCCACCUAGAGGAGCCUGUCCUAUAAUCGAUAAACCCCGCUAAACCUUGCCUCCCCUUGCCAAAACCGCCUAUAUACCACCGUCGUCAGCUUACCUCUCAAGAGAAUGAUAGCGAGCCCAAUGAGUAAAACUCAAAACGUCAGGUCAAGGUGUAGCGUAUGAGGAGGAAUGAGAUGGGCUACAUUUUCUGAACCAGAAAACUACGAAUAGUAUAAUGAAAUAAAUACAUACAGAAGGUGGAUUUAACAGUAAAAGAGGAACAGAGAGCCCC